Long non-coding RNA from Caretta caretta (loggerhead turtle), 1410 nucleotides. RefSeq lists it as uncharacterized. The record is from RefSeq and is a predicted model, not a curated record. Lineage: Eukaryota; Metazoa; Chordata; Testudines; Cheloniidae.
GGCUGUAUAGGCAGUGCCCAGCCCCCCUGCGGAGAGCUCUCUCCCCGGCCCUACCCCAGCGGGGCCCUUUCAGGGGAGGGGGAACCCGCGUUAGCCCCAGAGCCGCGUGGCCGAGCUGCCCCCAGCAGAGGUGCCGGGCUCAGCAGCGGCCACCCAGCGGCCGCUCCCCGAGCUCAAGGCACCGGGCCACCUCCAGGCAGGGGGCGCAGCCGCGAGCUCGGGGCUGCAGCUUUUCUAGGCAGGAGAGCUGCGGCGCACCCGACCCGGCCGCGUUACCUCCCUCCGGCACCGGGCGGGGGGCGCUCGGGAGGGUGAUGCUGCACCUGCCAUGCAACCUGCCUGCGCCGAGAGGCAGUGGGAAGCGCACAGCAGCCGUUCCCCAGGACCCAGCACCGGCGGGGAGGGUGCAGUGCAGUACAAUGCAAGCGCCCCCCCCCCCCGGGCUAGAAGAGGGAACGCAAUGCAGCCCCUCUCCCCAGGCUCAGCAGCCGGGGCCAGAAGGACGAUGCAAUCUCGCCCCACCUGCAGGGGGGAGAGAGGGGAACGCAACACCCCGGCAACCCCCCACCGCGGGGAGCCGGGACCCAGCUGCAACCGCAAUCAAAUCCCGCAGGGAGCGUCCAGCUGCAGCAGAUUGCCUGGGCCAGCCAGCGCCGGAGGGGAGAAGAAUUGUUAUGCACUCUUCUCCUCUGGUAACAGCUCCAGCUGUGAUAAUUCUCUUUAAUUCCAGCCUUAUGCAUCCCACUGGGCAUCCAUUAUGUUACAAAGAGCCCUUGAUCUGCUAAGCAUCAUCAACACACAGGGAGAGAGACGAUCCCUGCCCUACAAAGCUUUCAUCUGAAGAAGACAAGCAACAUGCAAAAGGUGCAAAUGUUUCUAUACUCCCCCUAUCAUCUCCAUCCGUGAGGUUAUCACAGAUUAGAAGGCAAAAAAAAAAGCACUUAUGAUAACAUGUUUUCUGAGAUCAUGCAGUCCUCCCUCACUGAUCGGGCUUAAUGCAUGGAGGCAUUCAGUGGCAGAGGCCAGGAAACACUAAGUGAGCAUGAAGAGCAGAGGCAGGAGGUGAUGCUGAGGCUAAUGUGGGAGCAAACGGACAUGAUGAAGUGUCUGUUGGAGCUGCAGGAAAGCCAACAAGAGCACAGACCCCCCCGCUGCAUCCAUUGUAUAACUGCCUGCCCUCCUCCCCAAGUUCCAUAUCCUCCUCACCCAGAUGCCCAAGAACGCAGGGAGGGGGGAAGGCUCUGGGCACUCAGCCACUCCACUCCAGAGGAUGGCCCAAGCAACAGAAGGCUGUCAUUCAAACAGUUUUGAUUUGUAGUGUGGCUGCAAUAAGGAAUGUGGCCUUGUCCUUCCCUCCUCCCGCACCCCACCGCACCCAGGCUAUCUUGUCAGUUAUCUCACUUUUUUUUU